Molecule: ribosomal RNA, 1541 nt
Filed under: Escherichia coli
Lineage: Bacteria; Pseudomonadati; Pseudomonadota; Gammaproteobacteria; Enterobacterales; Enterobacteriaceae
Description: bacterial SSU rRNA
Rfam family: Bacterial small subunit ribosomal RNA
Source: RNAcentral
AAAUUGAAGAGUUUGAUCAUGGCUCAGAUUGAACGCUGGCGGCAGGCCUAACACAUGCAAGUCGAACGGUAACAGAAAGCAGCUUGCUGCUUUGCUGACGAGUGGCGGACGGGUGAGUAAUGUCUGGGAAACUGCCUGAUGGAGGGGGAUAACUACUGGAAACGGUAGCUAAUACCGCAUAACGUCGCAAGACCAAAGAGGGGGACCUUCGGGCCUCUUGCCAUCGGAUGUGCCCAGAUGGGAUUAGCUUGUUGGUGGGGUAACGGCUCACCAAGGCGACGAUCCCUAGCUGGUCUGAGAGGAUGACCAGCCACACUGGAACUGAGACACGGUCCAGACUCCUACGGGAGGCAGCAGUGGGGAAUAUUGCACAAUGGGCGCAAGCCUGAUGCAGCCAUGCCGCGUGUAUGAAGAAGGCCUUCGGGUUGUAAAGUACUUUCAGCGGGGAGGAAGGGAGUAAAGUUAAUACCUUUGCUCAUUGACGUUACCCGCAGAAGAAGCACCGGCUAACUCCGUGCCAGCAGCCGCGGUAAUACGGAGGGUGCAAGCGUUAAUCGGAAUUACUGGGCGUAAAGCGCACGCAGGCGGUUUGUUAAGUCAGAUGUGAAAUCCCCGGGCUCAACCUGGGAACUGCAUCUGAUACUGGCAAGCUUGAGUCUCGUAGAGGGGGGUAGAAUUCCAGGUGUAGCGGUGAAAUGCGUAGAGAUCUGGAGGAAUACCGGUGGCGAAGGCGGCCCCCUGGACGAAGACUGACGCUCAGGUGCGAAAGCGUGGGGAGCAAACAGGAUUAGAUACCCUGGUAGUCCACGCCGUAAACGAUGUCGACUUGGAGGUUGUGCCCUUGAGGCGUGGCUUCCGGAGCUAACGCGUUAAGUCGACCGCCUGGGGAGUACGGCCGCAAGGUUAAAACUCAAAUGAAUUGACGGGGGCCCGCACAAGCGGUGGAGCAUGUGGUUUAAUUCGAUGCAACGCGAAGAACCUUACCUGGUCUUGACAUCCACGGAAGUUUUCAGAGAUGAGAAUGUGCCUUCGGGAACCGUGAGACAGGUGCUGCAUGGCUGUCGUCAGCUCGUGUUGUGAAAUGUUGGGUUAAGUCCCGCAACGAGCGCAACCCUUAUCCUUUGUUGCCAGCGGUCCGGCCGGGAACUCAAAGGAGACUGCCAGUGAUAAACUGGAGGAAGGUGGGGAUGACGUCAAGUCAUCAUGGCCCUUACGACCAGGGCUACACACGUGCUACAAUGGCGCAUACAAAGAGAAGCGACCUCGCGAGAGCAAGCGGACCUCAUAAAGUGCGUCGUAGUCCGGAUUGGAGUCUGCAACUCGACUCCAUGAAGUCGGAAUCGCUAGUAAUCGUGGAUCAGAAUGCCACGGUGAAUACGUCCCGGGCCUUGUACACACCGCCCGUCACACCAUGGGAGUGGGUUGCAAAAGAAGUAGGUAGCUUAACCUUCGGGAGGGCGCUUACCACUUUGUGAUUCAUGACUGGGGUGAAGUCGUAACAAGGUAACCGUAGGGGAACCUGCGGUUGGAUCACCUCCUUA